AGUGUACGCCCUCCCUUUUCCCCCCGCUCCGGCAAGCUGCUGGGAAGCCAGGCCUGUGCUUGAAAGGCGAAGGAACUACAACUCCCAGAGUUCCCUGCGGCGAGAGCAAGGGGAAAAGCACAGGGAAAAAACCCCACAGCAAACGGGGCCAGGACCGUUCCUCGCCUCGCGGGAGUCUGAUUUCUCCAAGAAGCGUAACCUCGUCGUCACGGUUACAGGGCAGCAUGCAAGAGGAAGCUACCUGACAUGAAUGCAAGAGCUGAACCUGAGGUGUGGGGGAGAAAAUUAGACACUGACAAGCAGUCAGGGUUUGGGAUCCCUGGUUCAUCCAUUGCACAGGAUAGGGCCUUCUUCUGGGGAUGAGCCGGUGUGGUGAAGAAGACAAUUGUCUGAAGUACCCCUAUUUUAUUUGUAUAGAAGUUAGAAGGUGUGUAGUGAAUGAAACUGGAAACUGCAGGAAGAGAGAAUGAUUUUAUGGGCCUCAGUCAAGAUCAGAAAGCCAAUGAGGUUGGUACUGACAACCAUGUGAGGAAAAGAUGGACCCCACCGUACAGCACUUAUAAUCAAGUGUAUGAUGGAAAGCAACAAAAGAAUACAAACAAACAGGUGUGAGAAGUACAACCAAGGCAACAACGGGGAAUUACGCAUAGCCUACUGGUGUAUAGGAGCAUGAUAAUGUACUACAGAUAUGUCUAUUAUAUAUAGAAUAGAAGAGCCUAACACCCUGCUCCUGUCAUCAGUGAUAAGGCUGCGCUGCACAACUCUUUACUCUCUCCUUCUUAACCCAACCUUCCAGAAGAGCAAUAGCUACAGGAGGCCCCCAACUUGUGAUUUGGUUCUGGGAGAAGUGUCGCAAGUCGGGGGCAUUGUAACCUAAACCCUCAUUUACAAUAGGCACUGUGCGCAUGUGUAAAUGUGGACCGAGGACAUAAGUCGGGGGGUUUCGGCCCCUUCCACACUUACAAAAAUGGUUGUAAGUGUGGGGGGAAGGGGGUUGGAACUCGGGCAGUUUCAAGUCGGGGGCCUCCUGUAUUAGCAAUCCUCCAAGUCACACUGACAGGGAAUACCAAAAUGCCUAUCAAGAAAUUGGGGAACAAGCCUUGAUAGUUAGUCAUAUUGCCUCCCACAUUCAUCCCUGUUAGCUGAAACAUACCAUUUCUCUGUAAGAAAUGUUAGCAAGACUUGUGAGAUGACAUCACUGACUUGUCACCUAAUCUGUAUUCUUCACCUGACACAAAACAAGUUUGUGGGGUUAAUUUAAAAACAAACAAGCCACAAUUUUCACUGUCCCUAAAUAUAGCAUGUAUUUUAACAUCUCUGAAAUGAUUGAGUCUAUUAAAACGAUUAAAACCACAAUCUUAGUAUCUAUCAAAAUUGAGCUCAACUCUUGUAAACAGUACAUGCAGACAUUCUGCAUACAUAUGUGGAGUGAUUCAGUGGAUCCUUUCUUUGGAUCUAUUGGUUGUUCUAUACCAGAGGCAUUUAAAAGUGUAAUCCAUGUUGCUAAAGAAGAGGGAUUUCAAGUCUUAUUUAGCUGAUGAGUUAAAAUCUUGAUUUUUCGGUUAAUAAGAUUUUUCGGUAAUAAAUGGAAAAACUACUUAAUUAUGAUUGAUAAAGGUGACAAAAAUACAAUUAUAAAAGAUAUAAAGGUGGUCAGUGUCUUAAUAAAAAUGUAACAUGGAAUUUUCUAAAGCUCCCAGCAUUGGCUUCUCUGCUUUCACUGUAGUCAGAAAGAAUUUUACCAUUUACUUCAGUGAGAGCAAUGUUAGGCACUUAGGAUACGUCUACACAGUGCAGCUAUUUCAGGAUACCGGAGGUACCCCACAUCUUAAUAAGCUGCCCAUUAUUUCAAAAUACUUUUUUUGAAAAGUAUUUGAAAAGCGCACUAUUUCGGCAUCCCUGGAACCCUUGUCCCAUGAGGGUUUAGGGAUGUCUCAAAAUAGUACAUUAUUUCGAAAUUUGGCACUGUGUAGAUGUGCCAUAUUUCAAAAUAAGCUAUUUCAAAAUAGAAUUGAAAUAAGACAAACAAUUUGUGUAGCACAAAUUGUGUCUCUUAUUUCGACUGUAGGGUGCUGUGUAGAUGCACCCUUACUGUCUCUAUGGUGUCAGCUUGUAUGCUGGGAAUUUCCCCAUUAGGAGUAAGCAACUCUUGGAGGAAUGGGGAAAUGUAACAAUUCUGUGAAGUUAUGUAAAGAUGUUAUAACAACCAGAUUCUGGCCCCAUCUUAAUAUCAGGUGCAAUCAAGGUCAUUGCAGGAGGUCCCACAUGUUCUCAAAGGAAUGAAUCUUAUAUCACUCUAACCAGGAUGCCCCCAUAGUGUUGUUUUUCCCAAAUGGAUCUGCACCGUUGCAGAUUUAUUGGCCAAAUUCCUCCCUCUCUCUGCAAUGCUACAGGGAGAAUUUCCUGUUGCUGUAAGUGGUCUAAGUACCACUAUAUGGGACAGUGAACUACACUAGAUGUGUGGGUUACAGAAACACAAGUUCUCCUGUGAUCUCUCCAUAGCCUGUUUCAUGCCUUGUCUUUUGCAGCAGUUACAGUGGUUCUCCUGUGUUUAGGGUCUAUAGUGCUUGCAGAGCAGGAUGUUGAAUUUGAACCCAUGAACAGAUAUUUUUUUUAAAGCCACAGAGUAACUCCUAGGAGAUGUAUUUGGAAGGAAAUAUUAUAAGACAGGGCCAGAUCCUUCCAUCUUUACUCACAUUGGACUAACACCUUACUUUGUGAUUAGUCCCAUUGAAAUCAAGGGGACCCCUACUUGAUUAAGGUAGAAAUCAAGGACAGCAGAAAUCUCACCUAGGAAAAUAAUUAGCCAUCUCCUUUUUACCUGUUCAACAUGAUGAAUUACUGUACUUUGUCGCCAUACUAAUUUUAUCAUGCCUUAUUUUAUGCCUAAUGGGAAAUGUGUUACUUGGAAGCUGAGCUUAUAAAGUAUUGACUGCUUUCAACUUCCACUGAUAUUUUCGUUAGAUAUAAAUUAAUAUUAACUGUUUUUAAAAUCCAAGAGUAGUUGAAGAAAUAUCUUCUUUAUAUAAAUCACAAUAUUAAAGUCCUAGAGAAAAUGUUGUCAGCUGACACAUUUAAUCUCUGGUCACUAGUGAUUAUAUUGGGAUUUAUGUGGGAAUCCUUUCUUACCAGUUCCUCGGGCACAUUUUAAUUCAUCAUUGGGAUGAGAAGAAGGGGACGGAAGUGUGUGAAAUGAAGGGCCCUUUCUAUUUGCAUUAGCUUUUUGUACAGUAGACACUAUAUGCUGAUGAUACAAGAAAAAUAUUCUGUUAAAAAUUUACUACAGCAAAUGAAUACUUUUCAUAAUUCUUUUCUGUUUCACAGUCCACUAUUGGAAUUACUUUAUUUUAUUGGACCGCUGUUGCUACCCAGGUGAUAAGGCUUAUACCCCAGUAGAUGUUACUGUUAAACUGUACAGCACCCAAAAAUGCACUAAGCUGUUGAGAUUAUAUGAUCCCAUGAUAAAGAAUUUACAGUCUGAUUUUAGACACAGUACAAUUACUGAAACUUUAAAAAAGGGGGAAAUAUAAUGACAAGUUUUAUACUCUAGUAAUAUGAUCAUGUAAUACCUCAGUUUUUAGCAUGUACACAUCUUGAAGAUUCUGUAACACAUAUAACUUAGAAAACAAAGUAUCUUAUAAGUGACAUGAAAGAAAUGUGUGUGUGUGUGUGGGGGGCGCAGUUAGGAGGGAUUUGAAGGAAGGAAGUGUGGUACUAUUUUAUACACCCGUGAUUGCAUGUAAAAAGGGCUAGUAGAGGAAACUGAGAAAUGGGGUUGAGACUGAUGCUGAUGGUAGUAAAAACUGGUCAGACCUUCUCUUGUGCAGAGCUCCAUGGAAGUCAGUGUAGCUGGGAAGCACAGUGUUCUGCUUACAUGGACUAACUGGGAGAAUUUUAUAAUGGGGGUGCUGCUGAUGGAAACCAUGUAUUUUAUUUGGUGCUUGUCAUGACUAUUUCAUGUUACGAGAUAUGGUAGCACCUCUAGUUCCAGCACCACUGAUGGGAUCUGCAGUAUAAGCUAGGGCAGAGUUGUAAAAACAAAUUUAAAAUUUAUAUUCUGGGUAAGGAGGAGAUUUCAUUCAGUCAUGUUGGUUAUUGGCAUCUUCAGAGCUUGGCCCUUUGCCCCUGCCAUUCCCACUCAGAGGUCCUGCAGUGUCAGCAUACAACAAAGAUAGUGUAUUGAUUUUUAACAUUCAUAAAACAACAGUUAUCAACUUUGGGGAAAACUUUUUAAAAAACAUUUUUAUAUAGCUCCAGUAGUGUGAUGUGUGAGAGGUACAGGUACAAAGACACAGGGUGAAAUCCUGGGCCCAUUGAGAUGAAUGGCAAAACUCUACUUAAAUGGAUAAUUUAAGACAAACUUUAUAGGUCAAAUUCACACUCCAGCUCCAGCAGACAUUAUAGUUGUGUCAGAAUGUUUGGAAGUUUUGCAGUGAGGAGAGAUGUUUAUUGUGGCCUAGACUGACAUCAAUCAGUGCUCCAGAAGAGUGGGAGCAUCCACAUUUUAUGGUUAACUAGAGUAAAAUGACAGAAAACAUGUUUCUUUUCAUUCAGAAAAUGCCCUUUUUUAAUGCUCACAUCUCAUUCUUUCCCAUCUCAACAGGAGCGUAACCCACAGUCAAUGAAGCUGGCUGAAUGUGCAUGCCCUGUACAUUAAGACUGAAUUCUAAAAUUUAAACCAAAGCAGCAUAAUACAGAUCACUAAUCAGGGAGCAAGUGAAAAGUAUAAAUUCUUUCUCCAAAGAAACAUAACAAGGAUAUUAUGGUUCUGGUUUCAAAGUAUCAACUCAGUCUCUUCAGCAUUUCUGGCCAGGUAGCUUGAAUUUAUGGGUAUGCCUACAGUGAAUAAACACAUUGAUUCCACGUGACCAGAGCUGUCCUUUCCCAUACACAGAAUAUGCAGCUGUGUAGGGCAUGCAAAAAUUUGGGGCACCACUGGUUCUUAAUGUCUAGUCAUCUGCCUCUUUCUAUCCCUGUUCUGUGGCUUAGCGUCUUCUGGAAAUUAUUUUGUUAACUUAAAAGUGAAAAAAGCCUGCCAGAGCUAGUAACAGAACAUGGAACCUUUGAAAGAGCCAUUCAAGUGAUAAUGAAGCUAUUUAACAGGCAUCUGCCAUCUCCAGGUAUAUGCGGUCAGUUUCUGAAUGGACUGUUAGUUAAUAGUACCUUAGUUUUAAAAAUAUUUUAUU
Non-coding RNA from Pelodiscus sinensis (Chinese soft-shelled turtle), 5186 nucleotides. Lineage: Eukaryota; Metazoa; Chordata; Testudines; Trionychidae. The record is from RefSeq and is a predicted model, not a curated record.